RNAcentral lists this ribosomal RNA (253 nucleotides) under uncultured bacterium. RNAcentral describes it as "partial 16S ribosomal RNA". It matches the Rfam family "Bacterial small subunit ribosomal RNA", at positions 524 to 776 of the family's 1533-position model. The record is from RNAcentral.
GACAGAGGUGCCGAGCGUUAGGCGGAAUCACUGGGUUUAAAGCGUGUGUAGGCGGACCGUUAAGUGUCUUGUGAAAUCCCCCGGCUCAACCGGGGAAUUGCUGGGCAUACUGGCGGUCUUGAGCAGUCUAGGGGCAGAUGGAACAAGUGGUGGAGCGGUGAAAUGCGUAGAUAUCACUUGGAACGCCAAAGGUGAAGACAGUCUGCUGGGGACUUGCUGACGCUGAGACACGAAAGCCAGGGGAGCGAACGGG